GAUGAACGCUAGCGGCAGGCCUAAUAUAUGCAAGUCGAACGGAUAUAUGUUUUUCGGAAUAUAUAUUAGUGGCGCACGGGUGAGUAACACGUACAUAACUUGCCCUCAAGCGGGGGAUAGCCUUGGGAAACUGAGAGUAAUACCCCAUAGAAUUAUUGGACGGCAUCGUUUGAUAAUUAAAACUACGGUGUUUGGGGAUAGAUGUGCGUCUGAUUAGCUAGUUGGUGAGGUAACUGCUCACCAAGGCGACGAUCAGUAGGGGGCGUGAGAGCGUGGCCCCCCACACGGGUACUGAGACACGGACCCGACUCCUACGGGAGGCAGCAGUAAGGAAUAUUGGUCAAUGGAGGGAACUCUGAACCAGCCAUGCCGCGUGAAGGAUGACGGCCCUCUGGGUUGUAAACUUCUUUUGGAUGGGGCGAAAAAACGGGAUUUAUCCUGGACUGACGGUACCAUCAGAAUAAGCACCGGCUAACUCCGUG
Molecule: ribosomal RNA, 482 nt
Filed under: uncultured bacterium
Lineage: Bacteria
Description: bacterial SSU rRNA
Rfam family: Bacterial small subunit ribosomal RNA
Source: RNAcentral